ACGGGAGGCAGCAGUCGGGAAUAUUGCGCAAUGGAGGAAACUCUGACGCAGUGACGCCGCGUAUGGGAAGAAGGUUUUCGGAUUGUAAACCAUUUUAGACAGGGAAGAAACAAGACAGUACCUGUAGAAUAAGCUCCGGCUAACUACGUGCCAGCAGCCGCGGUAAUACGUAGGGAGCAAGCGUUAUCCGGAUUUAUUGGGUGUAAAGGGUGCGUAGACGGGAAUGCAAGUUGGUUGUGAAAUCCCUCGGCUUAACUGAGGAACUGCAACCAAAACUGUAUUUCUUGAGUGCUGGAGAGGAAAGUGGAAUUCCUAGUGUAGCGGUGAAAUGCGUAGAUAUUAGGAGGAACACCAGUGGCGAAGGCGACUUUCUGGACAGUAACUGACGUUGAGGCACGAAAGUGUGGGGAGCAAACAGGAUUAGAUACCCUGGUA
Molecule: ribosomal RNA, 435 nt
Filed under: uncultured Oscillospiraceae bacterium
Lineage: Bacteria; Bacillati; Bacillota; Clostridia; Eubacteriales; Oscillospiraceae
Description: bacterial SSU rRNA
Rfam family: Bacterial small subunit ribosomal RNA
Source: RNAcentral